This is an RNA transcript of Triplophysa dalaica, 2186 nucleotides long. It is a transcript of the gene named CMP-N-acetylneuraminate-beta-galactosamide-alpha-2,3-sialyltransferase 1-like, with no coding region annotated. The transcript is spliced from 7 exons. Lineage: Eukaryota; Metazoa; Chordata; Actinopteri; Cypriniformes; Nemacheilidae. The record is from RefSeq and is a predicted model, not a curated record.
UAGCUUUCCAUACCAUUUCCUGUGGCUCAGUGGUUAGCAAUACUAAGGUCAUGGCUUUGAUCCCAGGGGAUUGCAAAUAGUCAGAAACAAAAAAUACUUUUGGCCUCUAGGGCCUCCAAAUGUUUAGAACCGGCCCUGGAAUCCAAGUUCCCAUUAAAAUAGUGACAACACCAAUCACUUUAACAGUUCAUCAAUUAUUAAUUCCAUAUACGUCAUUAGAGAUUGUCAUUCAUCAAAGUUACAAAUCACAUCAGAACAGUGUUACACAAUUCUUUAUAGAAAAUCUAGAAAAUCACAUACAAAGAAUAACAUUAUACAAUCCCCAAAUCAAAAAGUUUAAUAUAAUAGAAGGACUUAUAAAGCCAUUUUGACUGAACGUUAGUUCAAAAGAAUCGAGGAAAAUGUGAAUAUUUGAUCUGUCAGAACCCAUUACAAAACAAGUGGAGUAUCCGGAUCGACUGGUAGUUUAGGGUCACAAAACAGCUCUCAAUGAAACACUCAGCUCAAGUGUCUGCUUUCGACAACACAACAGAGAUUCAUGUCAUGCGGAUACUCCGGGGAUUAAAAUUGCUCCACUUCAAAAAUCGAAAGCACACCAAAGGAGGUCUAUAUAUAACUCUGCUUUCCUAAUAUCUGGCGACUCGAGGUGUCAAUCGUUUUACACACAAUGAGGCAUCACCACCGCUAUUUGACUUUACUCCUCAUCUCCACUUUUCUCCUCUUCUGUUUUUACUUUCAAAACUCAGUGUUGAUUUUUACCUAUAAUUCUUAUUUUCGUAAUGAGACCGAGCGCGCUCCGUGCGCGUGUGGCGACUGUCCGCUGGACCGGGUGCGCGCGGACUGGUUCAGUGCGCGUUACGAACCGACAGUCCAUCUGCUGCUCAACAGCAGCAACAGCGUGUUACGCGCAGACGUCUUCAGGUGGUGGAAGGGUCUACAAAUUGUAACACGUGUUGCCGACUACACAGAGGUGGUGAAGAAACUGUUUCCACUCUUUCCGGAUAAAGAACACUACUCAGAUGCUGGUCCAGACCGCUGCAGAACCUGCGCUGUGGUCGGGAACUCCGGGAACCUGCUGAGAUCCCAUUAUGGACCUCUCAUAGAUUCCAAUGACUUUGUCAUGAGGAUAAAUAAGGGUCCAACGGAAGGUUUUGAGAAGGAUGUUGGUUCCAGAACCACUCACAGGAUCAUGUACCCUGAGAGCUCUGUGGAUAUGGACAACUCAACUCACCUGGUGUUUUAUCCUUUUAAGAUUCUGGAUAUGGAGUGGCUCAUCAGUGCCUUAACCACUAAAAACAUCAACAAAACAUAUAUAGAAGUGCCAUCCACAAUAAAGGCUAAUAAGGACAAGCCUCACACACAACAACAACAAUCAGAGAAGGAAGAUCAGAGGCCUGCAGAGGUCAGAGGUCACGUACAGUGUCACACUAACAGGGAGUGAUUGAAGAUGAAGUUUCAGUGAGGAUGAUGAUGAUGAAGAGUUCGGCACAGGUGGGUUUAAACCCCACGUCCCUCCAGAAACCACAUUUUCAACUUUUUAUAUUCCCUCUUUUUCUCUUUGUGUAUCUGUCAGGGUGACCUUUCACAUCAAAACUGUAGAAAUUUGAAAAAAAUGAAUUUAAGAACAACGUGGUACUAUUUGUUGCACUGAUUUAGCCCAAAAUUAUGGUAUUAAAUUAAUUUAUUGACAUUUUAAUACUCCUAUACAGAAAUGUUGUACACUCAUAACAAACGUAUUUAUUAGUACACAAAACACUAACAUCCAUACCACAGUUAUAUAUUGAACAUGGUAAUGCUGUGGGUCAAACAAUACUGAGCAAUGUGUAAUGGAGUGAGUGUGAUUUAAAUAGUGACUGAGUGAUAGGCAACAGGUGAAGGUGUAAUCAGAGGGGAUCUUGGGAAAUGGAGUCCAUGGUGAAACAGUCCAUGGUGAAACAGAUGUCCCCAGUGUUUGGGGACAUCUGGUGGCAGGGAACACAUAUAUGACAAUAUUAGUUCAUUCACAAGUGUGUUUCUCUUGGUAUUUUUUCUCUUAAGGUAAUGAUACUCCACCCAGAAUUUAUGAAAUAUGUUUAUGUGAAUUGGACGGAGAGUCACGGAAGAUAUCCAUCCACAGGCUUCCUAACGCUGAUACUUGCUCUGCACAUUUGUGAUGAGGUGAAAGUUUUCGGGUUUGGAGCUACUAA